CAUGUACGGGAGGCAGCAGUGAGGAAUAUUGGACAAUGGUCGGAAGACUGAUCCAGCCAUGCCGCGUGCAGGAAGACGGCCUUAUGGGUUGUAAACUGCCUUUGCAGGGGAAGAAUAAGGACUACGAGUAGUUUGAUGACGGUACUCUGCGAAUAAGCAUCGGCUAACUCCGUGCCAGCAGCCGCGGUAAUCAUG
Molecule: ribosomal RNA, 195 nt
Filed under: uncultured bacterium
Lineage: Bacteria
Description: partial 16S ribosomal RNA
Rfam family: Bacterial small subunit ribosomal RNA
Source: RNAcentral